Molecule: ribosomal RNA, 465 nt
Filed under: Vreelandella stevensii
Lineage: Bacteria; Pseudomonadati; Pseudomonadota; Gammaproteobacteria; Oceanospirillales; Halomonadaceae
Description: partial 16S ribosomal RNA
Rfam family: Bacterial small subunit ribosomal RNA
Source: RNAcentral
CCUACGGGAGGCAGCAGUGGGGAAUAUUGGACAAUGGGGGGAACCCUGAUCCAGCCAUGCCGCGUGUGUGAAGAAGGCCCUCGGGUUGUAAAGCACUUUCAGUGAGGAAGAACGCCUGGUGGUUAAUACCCAUCAGGAAAGACAUCACUCACAGAAGAAGCACCGGCUAACUCCGUGCCAGCAGCCGCGGUAAUACGGAGGGUGCGAGCGUUAAUCGGAAUUACUGGGCGUAAAGCGCGCGUAGGUGGCUUGAUAAGCCGGUUGUGAAAGCCCCGGGCUCAACCUGGGAACGGCAUCCGGAACUGUCAAGCUAGAGUGAAGGAGAGGAAGGUAGAAUUCCCGGGGUAGCGGUGAAAUGCGUAGAGAUCGGGAGGAAUACCAGUGGCGAAGGCGGCCUUCUGGACUGACACUGCCACUGAGGUGCGAAAGCGUGGGUAGCAAACAGGAUUAGAUACCCGGGUAGUC